Molecule: ribosomal RNA, 605 nt
Filed under: Streptomyces sp. ZAL-01
Lineage: Bacteria; Bacillati; Actinomycetota; Actinomycetes; Kitasatosporales; Streptomycetaceae
Description: bacterial SSU rRNA
Rfam family: Bacterial small subunit ribosomal RNA
Source: RNAcentral
GUGGGGUAAUGGCCUACCAAGGCGACGACGGGUAGCCGGCCUGAGAGGGCGACCGGCCACACUGGGACUGAGACACGGCCCAGACUCCUACGGGAGGCAGCAGUGGGGAAUAUUGCACAAUGGGCGAAAGCCUGAUGCAGCGACGCCGCGUGAGGGAUGACGGCCUUCGGGUUGUAAACCUCUUUCAGCAGGGAAGAAGCGCAAGUGACGGUACCUGCAGAAGAAGCGCCGGCUAACUACGUGCCAGCAGCCGCGGUAAUACGUAGGGCGCAAGCGUUGUCCGGAAUUAUUGGGCGUAAAGAGCUCGUAGGCGGCUUGUCACGUCGGAUGUGAAAGCCCGGGGCUUAACCCCGGGUCUGCAUUCGAUACGGGCUAGCUAGAGUGUGGUAGGGGAGAUCGGAAUUCCUGGUGUAGCGGUGAAAUGCGCAGAUAUCAGGAGGAACACCGGUGGCGAAGGCGGAUCUCUGGGCCAUUACUGACGCUGAGGAGCGAAAGCGUGGGGAGCGAACAGGAUUAGAUACCCUGGUAGUCCACGCCGUAAACGUUGGGAACUAGGUGUUGGCGACAUUCCACGUCGUCGGUGCCGCAGCUAACGCAUUAAGUUC